UGCUUCCUGUUAGCUGUUAGCCGUUAGCUGUGUGGUGUUUAUGUCUUGCUUUGCGGCGGAUUUUUCUUCAUAAAACUCAAAUUUUCUCCUGUUGUUAUGGAUUAUGGCUUCGUUGACUGUCACUGUCACAUAUCAGCCCCUGAGUUCCAGCAGCAUCCGGUUCCCGGUUCUGUUUGUGUUCUGUUGGUCGUAACGGGACCAAAUGUGAAAAGGUCAGCGCCUUCUGAAGACUUCAGAUCUCAGCCGUCUCGUUUCUCUUCUGCAGGAUCUUCCGGAUGUGAUCCACAGAACCAGGCAGCCCCCAUGUGUUCAGGCCGGGGUGAAGACUCUGGUGGCCGUCACAGAGGAAGUGGAGGAUUUCUCCAGAGUUCUCCGUCUGCAGGAAAGAUAUCCGGACCUGGUGGCUCCGUGUCUGGGGCUGCACCCCCUGCAGGCCGCCGGGGGUCAGCGCAGCGUCCGGCCUCAGGACCUGGAAGAAGCUCUGCCUCUUUUCUACAGCCACAGAGAACGACUGGUCGCCAUCGGAGAGGUCGGGUUGGAUUUCACUCCGUGGUGCGCUCCGACCCAGCAGGACAGAGACGACCAGAUGAAGGUCUUCAUCGGACAGCUGGACGUCGCCAUGGAGAUGGACCUACCUGUGAACGUCCACUCCCGCUCUGCAGCCAAAGUCACCAUAGACACCAUGAGACGGCGAGAGCUUUGCUGCAUAACUUCUCUGGGAAGCCGGCGGCAGCUAUGGAGGCUGUGGAGGCCGGAUUCUUCUUCUCUUUCCCUCCUGCUGUCUGCAGGAACCAGCAGGUAAGACGGGUCACCAUGUCCACCAACACCUGGUGGACAGGAAAAGUUCUACCUUGUACCAUGGAGGUCCACAGAUCCAAACCACAAUGAAAUGUUGUGGAUAUGAGCUUCCCAAUAAUACAGUUGGAAGGUUGGAGGUGACAGUCCGCCGCUGAAUUUGCAUCUAUGAAGUGAGGAUUAGUGGUUUUCCACCUGUAGGAACCCAGAGCUCACCUGAUCCGACGUUUAGAAAAAAUGCUUUGGCAGAAAAAGUGGGAGACAGUUGAGCAAGAAUAGGAAUUUGGGUAAAAUGUUCAUUUUAAAGGAAUUAAUUUUACCGAUAAGCAAGAGAGAUAAAUUAUUCCAUCUUUGGAGGUGAAAUUUGAUAAAUUAAAGGCUAAAGAUUAGCUGUGAAAGAGCUUAGUGGUCUGUUUCCUCUGACCCCGAGGUACGCAAAGCCAGAGGAGUGAAAAUAGUUACUCUGUAACCUGAAGAGGAUCCAAAUCUCUGAAGAGCAGAUCAAAUUAACCCUUUAAGCAUCAAAUCCACUCUGGCCGUUGGCUCUCCGUUCCUCCUGAAAUGUUUCAGACAUUCAGUUUCUUUAGCCUCAGAAUAACUGAGAUGUUUCCGUCACUGAGAAGCAGUCAGAGUAAACGGCUCGGCUCCAGCGACUGACCAGAGACCGGCUGAUCCAGCGGAUCCCUCUGGAUCACAUCUGCCUGGAGAUGGACGCUCCGGCCCUCGGCCUCCACAGGAACGUGAGUCAGUCGCCGCCGUCCCUCAGGGACAGACGCUGAGACGACCGUCCUCCUCCUGUCCCCGUCUGCUCGACAGGAGAGAAACGAGCCGGCUAACAUCGCCCUGUCCUGCAGCUACAUUGCUAAGGUCAAAGGUCAGACGCCAGAAACGGUCCGGGAGGUCACGACUCAGAAUGCCUACAGGCUGUUCAGCAGAGCCAGCAGAUAAUCAGACAAACCCUGAGGAACACCAGGAACACCAUGCUGCUCAGCGCGGGUUUCAUUUCAGUUUUAAUACAUGUAGAAACAUCUAGGUGACUUUACA
Molecule: non-coding RNA, 1839 nt
Organism: Poecilia reticulata (guppy)
Lineage: Eukaryota; Metazoa; Chordata; Actinopteri; Cyprinodontiformes; Poeciliidae
Source: RefSeq, a predicted model, not a curated record